UACGUAGGGUGCAAGCGUUGUCCGGAAUUAUUGGGCGUAAAGAGCUCGUAGGCGGUUUGUCGCGUCGGCUGUGAAAACCUGAGGCUCAACCUCGGGCCUGCAGUCGAUACGGGCAAACUAGAGUUCGGUAGGGGAGACUGGAAUUCUUGGUGUAGCGGUGAAAUGCGUAGAUAUCAAGAGGAACACCUGAGGUGAAGACGGGUUGCUGGGCUGACACUGACGCUGAGGCGCGAAAGCCAGGGGAGCAAACGGG
This 253-nucleotide ribosomal RNA is filed under the name uncultured bacterium. RNAcentral describes it as "partial 16S ribosomal RNA". It matches the Rfam family "Bacterial small subunit ribosomal RNA", at positions 524 to 776 of the family's 1533-position model. The record is from RNAcentral.